GUCCUCGCUUCAGCAGCACAUAUACUAAAAUUGGAACGAUACAAAGAAGAUUAGCAUGGCCCCUGUGCAAGGACGACGCGCAAAUUUGCGAAGCAUUCUGUAUUUUA
Zalophus californianus (California sea lion) is the source of this 107-nucleotide small nuclear RNA. Lineage: Eukaryota; Metazoa; Chordata; Mammalia; Carnivora; Otariidae. The record is from Ensembl.